This 253-nucleotide ribosomal RNA is filed under the name uncultured bacterium. RNAcentral's name for it is "partial 16S ribosomal RNA". It matches the Rfam family "Bacterial small subunit ribosomal RNA", at positions 524 to 776 of the family's 1533-position model. The record is from RNAcentral.
GACAGAGGAUGCAAGCGUUAUCCGGAAUGAUUGGGCGUAAAGCGCGUGUAGGCGGUCCGGUAAGUCGGUUGUGAAAGUCCAGGGCUCAACCCUGGGAUGCCGACCGAUACUGUCGGACUAGAGUUCGGAAGAGGCGAGUGGAAUUCCCGGUGUAGCGGUGAAAUGCGCAGAUAUCGGGAGGAACACCAAUGGCGAAGGCAGCUCGCUGGGACGUUACUGACGCUGAGACGCGAAAGCGUGGGGAGCAAACAGG